UACGUAGGGUGCGAGCGUUAAUCGGAAUUACUGGGCGUAAAGUGUGCGCAGGCGGUUUUGUAAGCCAGAUGUGAAAUCCCCGGGCUCAACCUGGGAAUGGCAUUUGGGACUGCAAGGCUGGAGUGCGGCAGAGGAGACUGGAAUUCCUGGUGUAGCAGUGAAAUGCGUAGAUAUCAGGAGGAAUACCGAUGGCGAAGGCAGGUCUCUGGGCUGACACUGACGCUCAUGCACGAAAGCGUGGGGAGCAAACAGG
RNAcentral lists this ribosomal RNA (253 nucleotides) under uncultured bacterium. Its description in RNAcentral is "partial 16S ribosomal RNA". It matches the Rfam family "Bacterial small subunit ribosomal RNA", at positions 524 to 776 of the family's 1533-position model. The record is from RNAcentral.